RNAcentral lists this non-coding RNA (45 nucleotides) under Schistosoma curassoni. The record is from RNAcentral. Lineage: Eukaryota; Metazoa; Platyhelminthes; Trematoda; Strigeidida; Schistosomatidae.
AUCUAGUUGACGAGUCCCAAGUAGAACGAAACCCACUUCUUGGAU